GAUCGUAUUCAUCGUAUUGUAUCGUGCCAAUGAGAUAUUAAUAUUAUAUAAUUCUUGUAUCGAUGACAUAGUUCAAAAUUUUUUAUUUUUUAUUAAAUUUUUAAUAAAGUUUAAAAUUUUGAUAAAAAUACAUAAUAAGCUAGCACUUAUAAUAUUUUAUUUUUAGAAAAAUUAAAUUUUUUAUACCAUUAUACGUCUACACACAUGCAUUUCUUUUGACCGGCAUGCGUGUCGGUGCAUCCUGCCGUACCGUACUGACAAGUUUUUGACACAAUCUUGUAACAGGACACUUAAAUCCUCGAUAAUACUGUUUAAUAAAAUAUUGUUUGGGUUGGUAAUUCCUACUUAUCCCGUU
RNAcentral lists this long non-coding RNA (355 nucleotides) under Ananas comosus (pineapple). RNAcentral describes it as "long non-coding RNA (ACOM_LNC018312)". Lineage: Eukaryota; Viridiplantae; Streptophyta; Magnoliopsida; Poales; Bromeliaceae. The record is from RNAcentral.